UUCGUAGGCGGUGCGGCAAGUCGGAAGUGAAAUCCCUGGGCUUAACUCAGGGGCUGCUCCCGAAACUGCCGUGCUCGAGUGCGGGAGAGGCGAGUGGAAUUGCAGGUGUAGCGGUGAAAUGCGUAGAUAUCUGCAGGAACACCCGUGGCGAAGGCGGCUCGCUGGACCGCAACUGACGCUGAGGAACGAAAGCUAGGGGAGCAAGCAGGAUUAGAUACCCUGGUAGUCCUAGCCCUAAACCAUCAGGACUUGGGGUGCAUCCCGUUCGGGGUGCGUCCCGGAGCUAACGCGUUAAGUCCUGCGCCUGGGGAGUACGGUCGCAAGGCUGAA
Molecule: ribosomal RNA, 330 nt
Filed under: uncultured bacterium
Lineage: Bacteria
Description: bacterial SSU rRNA
Rfam family: Bacterial small subunit ribosomal RNA
Source: RNAcentral